GACAGAGGGUGCGAACGUUGUUCGGAAUUACUGGGCGUAAAGCGCAUGUAGGCGGCAGCGCAAGUCGGGCGUGAAAUCCCACGGCUCAACCGUGGAAGUGCACUCGAAACUGCGCAGCUAGAGUCCUGGAGAGGAAGGUGGAAUGCUUGGUGUAGAGGUGAAAUUCGUAGAUAUCGUAAGGAACGCCAGUGGCGAAAGCGAAUCUCUGGGCAGCAACUGACGCUGAGGCACGAAGGCCAGGGGAGCAAACGGG
Molecule: ribosomal RNA, 253 nt
Filed under: uncultured bacterium
Lineage: Bacteria
Description: partial 16S ribosomal RNA
Rfam family: Bacterial small subunit ribosomal RNA
Source: RNAcentral